This 109-nucleotide ribosomal RNA is filed under the name Microtus ochrogaster (prairie vole). The record is from RNAcentral. Lineage: Eukaryota; Metazoa; Chordata; Mammalia; Rodentia; Cricetidae.
AUAUAUGGCCAUACUGCCCCAAAUGCAUCUGCUCUCAUCUGGUCUCAGAAGCUCAGCAGGGUCAGGUGUGGUUGGUACUAGGAUGGGAGAAAUAGACAGGCAGGAUGAU